This 644-nucleotide long non-coding RNA is filed under the name Heterocephalus glaber (naked mole-rat). RNAcentral's name for it is "lncRNA (ENSHGLG00100039232.1)". The record is from RNAcentral. Lineage: Eukaryota; Metazoa; Chordata; Mammalia; Rodentia; Bathyergidae.
AGAAAACCUUUCUAAACCAAAAAACUAGCUUCUACAGCAGAAACUACUUGUCCUGAGAGCACUAAAAUUUCCCCGUCUUCUCUCCUUACCUGCUCAGAGACACUGAGACCAGAGACUGAGGGGUUAGGAGGAGGCAGGAGCCAGGGUGAAUAGUGUUAGGGACAGCCCCUUUUGAGGUGGCAGCAUCAGCUGCCUUCCUGCUUCAAGGGAGGGGAGGACCUUUGCAGGGCCCUCCAGCUGUGGAGCCUGUGGUCUGCAGUGCCCAGUGGUGGAUUGCCAGGGCGUGGGACAGUCAGCUCAGAAUGGGGAGGGACCAGAGAAGGAGGGGGCCGUCUCCCUACCCUACAUAAUUUGAUCCCAGGAGGACUGGGACAAGUGUCCCCCCUCAGGAGGGCUCUUUAGAUGGAGACUAGGCCAGCAGUGGCUGGCUGAGCUUUCCAGUCUUAGCCUGGCCUCUCUAGUUAAUAAGACAAUUGGAGAGGUGGUGACAGGGCUAACCGUGUGUGUGUGUGUGUGUGUGUGUGUGUGUGUGUGUGUGUGACAGGAACUCCCAGACUUGUUGGGCCAUUCUAGGGGAGAAGUAAAUGGCAGACCCCAGAUGGAGCCAGUGGAUCUCAGGGGCACAUUCAAGUUUGCUGUGUGGG